AGCCUGAACGCUGGCGGCGUGGCUAAGACAUGCAAGUCGUACGGUGUAGCAAUACACAGUGGCGAACGGGUGAGUAAUGAAUCGCUAACGUACCCCGGACUUUGGGAUAGCUAGCUGAAAGGCUAGGUAAUACCAGAUGAUAUAAUCCUUCCGCAUGGUUGGGUUCUCAAAGGUCCGCCGGUCUGGGAGCGGGCGAUUUCGUAUCAGCUAGUUGGCGGGUAACGGCCCACCAAGGCGACGACGCGUAGCCGGACUGAGAGGUUGGCCGGCCACAUUGGGACUGAGACACUGCCCCAGACUCCUACGGGGGGCUGCAGUACGAAUCUUCCGCAAUGCCCGCAAGGGUGACGGAGCGACGCCGCGUGCAGGACGAAGCCCUUCGGGGUGUAAACUGCUGUCAGGGGAUAGAAGUUCUGAUCGUCCCCAGAGGAAGGCACGGCUAACUCUGUGCCAGCAGCCGC
RNAcentral lists this ribosomal RNA (461 nucleotides) under uncultured bacterium. Its description in RNAcentral is "SSU rRNA". It matches the Rfam family "Bacterial small subunit ribosomal RNA", at positions 26 to 518 of the family's 1533-position model. The record is from RNAcentral.